RNAcentral lists this ribosomal RNA (466 nucleotides) under uncultured bacterium. Its description in RNAcentral is "partial 16S ribosomal RNA". It matches the Rfam family "Bacterial small subunit ribosomal RNA", at positions 28 to 505 of the family's 1533-position model. The record is from RNAcentral.
GACGAACGCUGGCGGCGUGCUUAACACAUGCAAGUCGAACGGAAAGGCCCUGCUUUUGUGGGGUGCUCGAGUGGCGAACGGGUGAGUAACACGUGAGUAACCUGCCCUUGACUUUGGGAUAACUUCAGGAAACUGGGGCUAAUACCGGAUAGGAGCUCCUGCUGCAUGGUGGGGGUUGGAAAGUUUCGGCGGUUGGGGAUGGACUCGCGGCUUAUCAGCUUGUUGGUGGGGUAGUGGCUUACCAAGGCUUUGACGGGUAGCCGGCCUGAGAGGGUGACCGGCCAACUGGGGAUAGGACUACGCCCAGGAGCCUUGGGGAAGGCAGAGGUGGGAAUUAUUGCACAAGGGGGGGAAGCUGAAUGAGCCAUGGCCGCGGGGGGGAUGCCGCCCUCGGGGUUGAAACCCGCUUCCGCUGGGGAGGAGGGGUGGGGGGCGGGAGGGGAAAAGGAAGCCCCGCUAACCUGCG